Molecule: long non-coding RNA, 1195 nt
Organism: Amphibalanus amphitrite
Lineage: Eukaryota; Metazoa; Arthropoda; Thecostraca; Balanomorpha; Balanidae
Exons: 4
Source: RefSeq, a predicted model, not a curated record
ACCGAUUAUUUUGCUUCUUAGGGUGUGUGCUAAGUAAAAAUAGAGCAUGAAACGACUCAACAAAGCAUAGUUGUUCUAAAUAUAUGACUGUUUUGCAUUAUUGCACAAAAAGUAUCAAAAUUCCGAACGUCAGGGCCACUGGAAUUUAAGACACUGAUCGGUUGGCCUCAGCUCUGGAGACGCUGAUCACAGCCGAGGAGGCCGCCCCCGACAACACCACCGACGGCACACUACUGAAAAAGUACUACCGGCAGAUCGUCACACCCGUGACCGGUCAGUCACCGCAGCUGGCGGCCCUGGGCGGAGCGCUCGAGGCGACAUCUAUUGACUGCAGUCGGUACUACCUGUGCCAGAUGGCAGCACUGGCCAUCCACAGCGGGGAACCGCUCGACAUCGGGGUGCCCCUGAUCAGCCUGCCCGUCUCGUGGGUUCUGACGUCCACCCAAGGCGGCGCGUUCGGUCAGUACUGCAGCAGCGCCGUGCUGGGCGGAUCGGGCGCCGGUAGCUGCCAGAGACUGUACCCCGGCUGUGGGGACGUGUGACGUCAAUAUACCCCGGCUGUGGGGCGGUGUGACGUCAUAGACCCAGCGGGUGUGUGUGACGUCAUCAGUCUCAGAUGGGUGUCACGCUGCAUACUUGUAGAGUGCAGCAGCUACCGGAAAACCCAGAGGGUCUGUUUGUUAAACUAUUACGCAUUUCAGUCAUCUUCGCUUCCCUUUACAGGUUCCAAAAUGACACUGAUGCCAGGAUCCCUUUAGUCCGUAUUGAUGAAUCAUUUCUGGUAGUUAAAUUAUGUCUUAUCCACCAUCUCAUUCUUUUCUGUCUUUCAGCUGCAGUAUUAUUGCUGUUUGAUGUUCAUCAUCGUAGGCAACGCCCCUUGCAUCAGAAACAUAACUGAACGCAUCACAGUCGGUUCCAUAAUGUAUAUAAAUAGUUCGUACAGCUAUAUCCUAUCCCCGAACAAAGAAGACUGAAGACUCUCAACCAUGUAUCUCUUCAGUAAUCCCGUCUGUACGCAAGAUCUUCCACUGUGUCUAUACGCGCGAUCAUCCAUUGUUUGUUGUUGGCGGUGCGCGGGAGAUCAAAUGAUCGCAUCAUUGAUAUUAAUAUCUCCCGUGCGUACGCGUGUUACGUGAGAACCUUAGAGAGCUUUGUAGGCGUCCAAGUGCUUUCAAUAAAUCACUCAAACGUCAAA